GCGUGGGUCGGCCUGCUGAACUGCACCCAGUGGGCCGGGGGAGGCCGUCGCCCCAUAUCCCCGCGGGCGGCGGCACGGUCCGGAGGGCGAGCCGUCCUCCGGACCGUC
Molecule: non-coding RNA, 108 nt
Filed under: Streptomyces oceani
Lineage: Bacteria; Bacillati; Actinomycetota; Actinomycetes; Kitasatosporales; Streptomycetaceae
Description: Streptomyces sp. SCSIO 02100 Streptomyces RNA 4115
Rfam family: Streptomyces RNA 4115
About the family: Identified by deep sequencing of transcriptome at the end of exponential growth phase.
Source: Rfam by way of RNAcentral